This 332-nucleotide ribosomal RNA is filed under the name uncultured bacterium. RNAcentral describes it as "bacterial SSU rRNA". It matches the Rfam family "Bacterial small subunit ribosomal RNA", at positions 355 to 704 of the family's 1533-position model. The record is from RNAcentral.
UCGGGAAUUUUGGGCAAUGGGCGAAAGCCUGACCCAGCAACGCCGCGUGAAGGAUGAAGUAUUUCGGUAUGUAAACUUCGAAAGAAUAGGAAGAAUAAAUGACGGUACUAUUUAUAAGGUCCGGCUAACUACGUGCCAGCAGCCGCGGUAAUACGUAGGGACCAAGCGUUGUUCGGAUUUACUGGGCGUAAAGGGCGCGUAGGCGGCAAUUCAAGUCAUCUGUGAAAUCUCCGGGCUUAACUCGGAACGGUCAGAUGAUACUGCUUUGCUAGAGUGCAGAAGGGGCAAUCGGAAUUCUUGGUGUAGCGGUGAAAUGCGUAGAUAUCAAGAGG